Molecule: ribosomal RNA, 402 nt
Filed under: Triticum aestivum (bread wheat)
Lineage: Eukaryota; Viridiplantae; Streptophyta; Magnoliopsida; Poales; Poaceae
Description: partial small subunit ribosomal RNA
Source: RNAcentral
AUGUCCUCCUGCAUCUCCUCCUCCUAUCACCACUGCGCCCGCCGCCUCCCCGCCCCGACGGCCCGGGUGCACCUCGCCGCAGCUAACUCGUGCGUGUCCCCUUACCACAGACGCGUCGGUUCCCUGAGGGCAAUGAGAGCCAAGGCGCCGUCGAGCGCGGCGCCGGUGUGGGAUAGGAAGGCCGCGGCGGUGCAGGCGGAGAUGGUAGAGGAGGCGGCCAUGUCGUGUGCCAUGCACGGACUCGUCGUCGACGACCGCGGCAACCCGUUGCAGGUGCCGACGAUGCCAGUGCAGAAGAUGGCGUCGAUCUCAAGUGGGAGUUCGACGAGGAACGUGGUCGUUACUAUGUGUCUUUUCCUGAUGAUCAGUAGUGGAGCCCAGUUGGGACGAUCGGGGAUCUAG